AGGACGAACGCUGGCGGCGUGCUUAACACAUGCAAGUCGAGCGACGCUCCUCCUUCGGGAGGAUGACGGAGCGGCGAACGGGUGAGUAACACGUGGGCAACCUGCCCCUAGCUCUGGGAUAAGCCCGGGAAACCGGGUCUAAUACCGGAUAUGAAGUCGAAAGGCAUCUUUUGACUUGGAAAGUUUUCGGCUAGGGAUGGGCCCGCGGCCUAUCAGCUUGUUGGUGAGGUAACGGCCCACCAAGGCGACGACGGGUA
This 257-nucleotide ribosomal RNA is filed under the name uncultured bacterium. RNAcentral's name for it is "partial small subunit ribosomal RNA". It matches the Rfam family "Bacterial small subunit ribosomal RNA", at positions 26 to 285 of the family's 1533-position model. The record is from RNAcentral.